Molecule: ribosomal RNA, 253 nt
Filed under: uncultured bacterium
Lineage: Bacteria
Description: partial 16S ribosomal RNA
Rfam family: Bacterial small subunit ribosomal RNA
Source: RNAcentral
AACGUAGGGUGCAAACGUUGUUCGGAAUUACUGGGUGUAAAGCGCGUGUAGGCGGCUAAGUGUGUCGAUUGUGAAAGCCCCCGGCUCAACCGGGGAAAGUCGAUCGAAACUGCUUGGCUAGAGUACGGGAGAGGGGGAUGGAAUUCCAGGUGUAGAGGUGAAAUUCGUAGAUAUCUGGAGGAACACCGAUAGCGAAGGCAGUCCCCGGGACCGUUUCUGACGCUGAGCCGCGAAAGCGUGGGGAGCAAACAGG